This 2385-nucleotide small RNA is filed under the name Vigna angularis var. angularis. Its description in RNAcentral is "Non-protein coding transcript". The record is from RNAcentral. Lineage: Eukaryota; Viridiplantae; Streptophyta; Magnoliopsida; Fabales; Fabaceae.
CACGUCCAAUGCAAAACUCUCGAUUAAUUAAUUGAGUGAAGUGAUGUAACAUGUUUCUUGCAUUUGGCGAAAUAGCCAACGAGCUUUUGCAAAAGUUACGGUUGAUACGGUAAGUUUGGGAUUUGUUCUCCAGUAUGAAAAGAAACAUUUUGGAAGGCAUGGUUGUUCAGACGACGUGAAACGGUUCUGGAAUAUUCUGGUACACGGUGAAGAAAGAUAAUGAAAAGUAGGAGAGAAAGAGAGAGAGAAAUUGAUUUUAUUGAUGAGAGGACGCGUAGACAAUAUGUUACAAUAUUCACACGAUUAACAUGACGCAAAUAAUUGCCAAGGGGGCCAUGUAACUUAUUGUUAUUGUCUUCCUUGUUAUUUUACUAUUAUUUUAAUUGUUUGGAUAGUUGGGUUGGUUGGAAAUGUACAACGUCAAGCCUUAUCCCAUAUCCAAACAAAGGGUCAGUUUUCAAGCUCCAACCACGGCAAUGGCCAACGCAGACUCCAACUCGCUUUUCGUACGUGUCAUCGCUUCAUCUUCACCGUCCAUUUUGUUUGCCCAUAUCUCCGGUAUCGCUUGCGCCACGUUAUUCACAAACUCCACUGCAUAGUCCGCUUCCUUGCUUUUCACUGUCUUCCCAACCUAUACAAACAUUCCAAACACACCACUUACUUAUCAACAUUUAACAUGAUGCAAUUAUACAGAUGCUAUACGACGUCGUCUGCGAAAUUACCAGAACUGUAUGCAGACCCAUUUCUUUUCCCGCGGCAAUGUUCCGAACGCUGUCAUCCAGAAACAGCUGCAAUAUAUAUUUUAACAAACCAUUAUUCCUCAUUCAUCUCAAUAAUUUCUAAUAAAAAAUAAAACUCACCCAUUCUGACUUUUCCUUAAAUAAUAAUCUCAUUAACUUUUCACUGUCAAAAAACGACAUCGCGAAACAAGAAGUGACGACCCGUUUCGUUUCUUGACUUUUGUCCCCUUGUAUUGUGUGUGGAAACACCCUUUCUUUUAUGUAUUUCGAUUAAUAUUUAGAAAGUGAUUUUCCUCAGAACUAAUUCAAGACUUUAUCGCAUGCCUAAAAUAACCCUGCCAUCAACUAACUAUUUUAGAACUCCUUGGUUUUGGUUUCUGGGACCGUUGAUUACUGUUGCUUCUUGAAUUAGUAUUUUAACGUGAUUUUACAGUAAAGGCAAUUCGCGGCGCCCUUACCGUACGACGAGGAUCCACGUUGGCAGCGUGGAGCGCGAUCUUGAAGGCGUCCGGCGAUGGUUUGAGGAGGACGGGAAAUUCGUCGGGUCGGGCUGCGUUGGGGAGAUUCGGGUUAAUAGUCUCGAAGCAAAUAAUUUGCUCGAAACAGUCCUUGAUCCCAAGCCUAUCCAAAGCCCUCAUCGCGUGAAUCCUAUCCGAAUUGGUGAAUACAAUUUUUCUUUGUUUGAUAGUGCAGAGGAGGUUCCGUAACUGAGCGUCAGGCUUGAUCGAGUCGUAAGGUAGCCUUCCGUGCACGAAACUGGUUGAAAGUCAAGAGAACGAAAAGUUUAGUUGUAGCCCAACGUUUAUUUAGUGUUAAUAAAGAAAAUUCUGUUCGGUGUAGUUUUUAUCUGUGUUUUAUUCUCACCUGUGGUAUUCAUCUGCGGUGAUAUCAUAGCCAAGAGCCUGUAAAGUAAGGAAAGAGAGAUUGUUGUAAUGAGUAUAAUUAUGACUUAUUGUGAGUUAUGGAAGGGACAUUGAUGGAAAUUUUGUUAUACUAACUCGCAAACCGGCGAGGGUGCUUCCGUAGGUUUUGAAUAGUUCAACUCGGAGAGUGAGCGCUUUGGAUUCUGAGAAUCCGCAUUUCUCUAUGAGAAAGAGUUCGAUGUUUCUCUUGACGCAGGGAUCAAUUCCGGUGGAGGAGGGGUACAAGGUGUCGUCCAAAUCUGUUUAAUUAUUAAGAAUUAAGAACUAAGAAAGAGUGAUUUGGAAGAAAGAAGAAAUAGAGGAAGCAUGCGUUGGCCUGUACUCACCAAAGAGGAUGGCGUCGAAAGGAGAGGCGAUGGAGGUGAUACCCAUAGUUGAAGAAGUAGAAGAAGAAUGAGAAGUAAAACGGUAUGGGAAAUGAAGAGAAGGAAGCGAGCUUGGAAUGCAGGGAGGGAAGAGGAAUUUAUAGAGAGGAGAUGAGGUGGAGCAUGUGGGUUGGAUAGACAUUGGUGAUGGUAGGAUCGCUGCGUCACCGUUUCGAAUUUGCAAGCCGAGUAGAUGCGGGGUCCACACGAUAAGCGCAUUUCGCUAACUAAAUCUUUCCAUGGACGAUAAUACCCCUGCGCGGUGCUGCCCAAUCCAACCCAGUAUCAUACACUUCAUUAAUAAUGCCAGGACUAUUAUAAUACUAAUAACCCUGCUUCGUUCACACACCAUCAACC